This is a long non-coding RNA of Argentina anserina (silverweed cinquefoil), 2417 nucleotides long. RefSeq lists it as uncharacterized. The transcript is spliced from 7 exons. NCBI's taxonomy places the organism in Eukaryota, Viridiplantae, Streptophyta, Magnoliopsida, Rosales, Rosaceae. The record is from RefSeq and is a predicted model, not a curated record.
GUUUCUUUCUCCACCACCCCAUCUGAUUUGUAAUCGGCCAUUAGAACUUUCUCGCUGCCCUUUUCUUUAGUUGUCUCUCAAUUUCUUCUCUGACGUCCAAAACCAUCAAAGCCAGAAUUUGUUGUUUCUUUUCUCUCCAAAACCUUCCUCUCCCAAAUCGUUGCUGCAUCCGUCUCCAAAAGCUUCAUCUCCGACACCGACGUGGCUUUGCCGCCGUUCAAUCAGUCUCCUCCCCUCUACAAAACCCACAAAUUGCAUGUGGGAUUUAAAGAAUUCUUCGUCGGAUCGGUAAACUUCUUUGAUUAUUACGGGCAGAAACUGACCACUUCAGAUGUUGGCGUGUCUUGCCAAGGGACAUGCACUUUUUUCUCAUAGAAUAGCCAAGGUUCACAAAUAGAGGACAACUAUGUCUUAUCGCCAUAGGUCUGUUGCAAAUUUGGAUUCUUAUAUGGUGAUCAUAGGGGAUUAUUAGGAUGUGGCAUUUUAGAGUUUCUGCUAGAUUGCUAUUUUGAUUUGUUUGAUAUGCUUAGCUUAGCUCAUACUUGCAAUAUUGCUAAUUUGACAUCCUUACCAAAACAUCCCUGCCCUUACAAAACUAUCAGUACAUAUAUGAGAAACAAAAUACCAAUAUUAGAAUUGAUUUCAUUAAGCACCUCAAAAUGAAGAGGAAUACAAACUGACCACUGAAUGAGUCAUCAUGAAUAUGUUUUCCUUUACCGCAGUAAGGGAGGAAUGAGUUGCAGGGAAUGAAGUUGCGGGUUUUUUUAUCAUGUUCUUAAAUUCUGUAGUUUUUCCUGCUUUCUGCUUGGGGAGAGGACUCACUUUUUGAAUGUGUAUAUACGGUGUUGCUGAAAGAUAUCAAUUUAAAUGUGUUUCUUUGUUGGCAGCUUGGGCUGCAACAGUUUUUACCGAAGAUGAAGGUUGUGGUGGUUGAACAACCGCUGGGUCGUGCUGAUUUGAUUAGUUCCCGCUAUAUAUAAAGCGGGAAUCAUAAUUGCCCUAAAGUCCAUGACUCUUCCUCUUCUGCUUAGAUAUGCUCUGUAAGUCAAACACAUUCAUUUUCUGAUUCCAAGCUUCAUAUUUAGGUUGCCAUCUUAUUUGGAUUUGAUAGUGUUGGUCUAUGUUUUGAUUCACUGGGUCCAUUGUAGGAGCUAUGAUGUUGUUUUUCCCUGCAGUUUAUAUUUGCUUCAGGCUCAUGUUUUUGCUUUUUUUGGUGCCCCUGAAAUUUGAUAUGGGGUGUUUAUUUUUCUUGAUUUUUGUUUAUUUAAGGGCACUGGAUAAUGAAUAUGAACUAAAUAUUCAUAGGUAAUGGUAGUUGCAGAUUCAGUUCCUUGAAAAGAGCUUAGUGUUUGAUGGUAAAUUGAUUUGCGAAUAUAGAAUGGUUGGGUUGAAUUAUGUUGUAUUCCCUAUAAGAAAGUUGAUACACAGAAUAAUCGGCCAUGUUGGGGUUGUAUUUUGGAUGUGCUAGGGAUACUUAGAGGUGGCAAAGCUUCUACAUUUAUUUACUUAGCAUUGAGAUUGAAGCUUUGAACUUGAAGUAAAUGAAAAGGCAUAAUCUUGAAUUUAGCCUAAAGUUUAAAUGAUCCAUGUAGUUUCUUGCAUUGAAGGUGAUUCUGAAUUAUGCGUUUUAGUGUUUCUUUCAGUAUGUUCAUUUGUUCUUAUCAAUUGAAAAUUAACUAAAUCCCUUGCAUUUCCUAGGCGUAUGCAUGUAGCUACUUUAAGCAGUAUCUGCUAGCAGAGCGGCCAGAGCCAUAUAUAAGCCAUUGAUCAAUAUAUUAAUCCAACCGCUUCAGCUCCAGGGAAGACAUAAUAACAACGAAUCUAUCUUUGCAGGACAAGGAGGGGAAUUCUGUCUGAAAGUGAAACUAGAACGGUUUUCAACUUAUGGUGCUUAGUGGUAUAACAAAUGUCCAGUGACUGAUUGUGAUCUAGGAUUAAAAAAAGAUGAAGAUGGAGAUAGUUUCAUCUAUGUUAUACACCGAACUCAGACUCCUCAGCAGCGUUAUCGAACUUCUAUGGUGCUUAAUGAUGGGAGAGAUCGGAUACCUGUCAUGCUGUUGGACUUGGAAGCAGAAAAAUUGAUUAGAUAUAGUGCUAAGCAGCUAAUUGAUUCAAGAUUUUACAGAGGGCAGCAAGUGAAUCCAGAAGAAAUGCAACGAGUGGAAGGUGGAGAAUAUAUUUGUUUUAGUAUUGAUGCCUGAAGGAAAAAUGGUUGUGAAGAAAAUAAUGUCUAUUCAGGACGAGUCAGAAUAACAAGUGGAGACUCAUCUAUCUAUUAUAUAGAUAGCAUAUGAUGAACAAGUAUUAGUACUGGUUUGACUACAGACCUGUAUUAAUGUUCUUUCUUCCAUCUUUCCAAUAAAAUAUUUUGUAAGGUUUGUAAACAAUAAGCAGAUUAUGAAGUUAUCAGUGGACUA